Molecule: long non-coding RNA, 1254 nt
Organism: Zophobas morio
Lineage: Eukaryota; Metazoa; Arthropoda; Insecta; Coleoptera; Tenebrionidae
Exons: 3
Source: RefSeq, a predicted model, not a curated record
CUAGUUUAUCUAAGUUUGUAAAAAACGGCAAGUACCUUACGUAUUCGAGCGCAAAAAGCAUUAUCCUAUCGAACUAAUCCAGUUAAUGCGUUAUUGGCAGCGUAUUUUAUUUUGAUAUAUGGAUACCUGUCAUGACAGGAUAGGUUGGUUAUAAAAUGGAUUUAACAUGAAGUGCACCUUUCAUAGACUUAUUGGAUUUUGAAACAUAAUUAACCAUCGACCGAGCCCUACCUUCUUCAUUACUUACUUUAAUACACCCAGAUUAACACUGUUCCGAGGGCGGGAUUAGACUAUCAUGUCAAGGUUUGCAAAAUCAGUCGGUUAAAAAUGGAAAUUUAUAAUAAAGUACGCCGGAGCUUUCAAGCCGGAUCAUCCCAUAUCCGCUAGAGCUUUGUACACGCUCGAGGAUAAUCAAGACAAAUACGUUUCAACUUCUCCUCACCUCGACGUUUUAUUGUCUUUAAAUUAUGCCUAUUUUUUGUUGCGAAAUGUGAUUGACGCCGAGACAAAUGGGACAUUGUGCUCGAAAGCUCUACUGCGAAAUUUCUUACUAUUCAACUCUUGGAAUCGGAGUAUCAGCUUGCUUAAUUAGAACGGUUCAAAAGUACCAUCCGCCCCGAGCCAUUGUCACGCUGACAAAGAAAAUACAACACACUUAAAAUGUGAACAAUAUUUGUGGGUCGAUGCGGUGCUUGGGGUUUAAUUGCUUUAAAAUUACAUUCCGUUUGGAUGGGGAGCUUUUUUAGAACUUUACGUGGAACAUCCAAAGUGUUGUCGUUACCAACAAAUUAAAAAAAGUUUGUUGCCAAUUUUUGUCAUGUCUAUUUUGACAACUAUAAUAUACUUCAACAGAAUGAAGUUGUCAAUUUUCGCUUUGAUAAUGGUUUACUGUAUUUGCCAGAUGAAUUCGUCCAUUCUAGCUGCUAUAGUACUAAAUCUACCAAAUCCUCGACGCAAACCUGGGGGUUGUUACGAACAGGAGACUGGAUAUUUAAAAGGCGGACAGAAAAAAACCCUUCCAGAAAAAUGCAUUCAAGCUUUGUGUUCUCCAGAUGGAAGCAUGGAAUACAUGAGUUGUGGAGUCGCCCACAUCGACAAAAAGUCGCCAUGUUAUAAAAGAGGAGAUCCCAAAGAACCGUACCCAAAAUGCUGUGAUCGUCUUACAUGUGUAUAAAGAAAAUCCUUCACGAUAUACCUAAAGUUAUGAUAAUGUAUAUUUUACAAGUGUUAAAAUUAUACCUAUGUAAACAAUUA